UACGGAGGAUCCGAGCGUUAUCCGGAUUUAUUGGGUUUAAAGGGAGCGUAGGUGGAUUGUUAAGUCAGUUGUGAAAGCUUGCGGCUCAACCGUAAAAUUGCAGUUGAAACUGGCAGUCUUGAGUACAGUAGAGGUGGGCGGAAUUCGUGGUGUAGCGGUGAAAUGCUUAGAUAUCACGAAGAACUCCGAUUGCGAAGGCAGCUCACUGGACUGCAACUGACACUGAGGCUCGAAAGUGUGGGUAUCAAACAGG
RNAcentral lists this ribosomal RNA (253 nucleotides) under uncultured bacterium. RNAcentral describes it as "partial 16S ribosomal RNA". It matches the Rfam family "Bacterial small subunit ribosomal RNA", at positions 524 to 776 of the family's 1533-position model. The record is from RNAcentral.